UACAGAGGUCUCAAGCGUUGUUCGGAUUCAUUGGGCGUAAAGGGUGCGUAGGCGGUUUGGUAAGUCUCUUGUGAAAUCUAUGGGCUCAACUCAUAGUCUGCAAGGGAAACUGCCGGGCUUGAGUGUGGGAGAGGUGAGUGGAAUUUCCGGUGUAGCGGUGAAAUGCGUAGAUAUCGGAAGGAACACCUGUGGCGAAAGCGGCUCACUGGACCACAACUGACGCUGAUGCACGAAAGCUAGGGGAGCAAACAGG
Molecule: ribosomal RNA, 253 nt
Filed under: uncultured bacterium
Lineage: Bacteria
Description: partial 16S ribosomal RNA
Rfam family: Bacterial small subunit ribosomal RNA
Source: RNAcentral